RNAcentral lists this Y RNA (111 nucleotides) under Suricata suricatta (meerkat). RNAcentral describes it as "Y RNA (ENSSSUG00005001581.1)". It matches the Rfam family "Y RNA". From Rfam's summary of the family: Y RNAs are components of the Ro ribonucleoprotein particle (Ro RNP), in association with Ro60 and La proteins. Lineage: Eukaryota; Metazoa; Chordata; Mammalia; Carnivora; Herpestidae. The record is from Rfam by way of RNAcentral.
GAGUCAUCGGAAGGUAGUGAGUUACCACAGUUGACUGCUCACAGUCAGAUAAGGACCCAACUCCUUAUUCCACUCUUUCCCCUUCUCACUACUGCACUUGAUUAGUCUUAA